This 433-nucleotide ribosomal RNA is filed under the name uncultured bacterium. Its description in RNAcentral is "partial 16S ribosomal RNA". It matches the Rfam family "Bacterial small subunit ribosomal RNA", at positions 29 to 507 of the family's 1533-position model. The record is from RNAcentral.
AACGAACGCUGGCGGCAUGCCUAACACAUGCAAGUCGAACGAGACCUUCGGGUCUAGUGGCGCACGGGUGCGUAACGCGUGGGAACUUGCCCUUAGGUUCGGAAUAACUCCCCGAAAGGGGUGCUAAUACCGGAUAAUGUCUUCGGACCAAAGAUUUAUCGCCUUUGGAUGGGCCCGCGUUGGAUUAGCUAGUUGGUAGGGUAAAAGCCUACCAAGGCGACGAUCCAUAGCUGGUCUGAGAGGAUGAUCAGCCACACUGGGACUGAGACACGGCCCAGACUCCUACGGGAGGCAGCAGUGGGGAAUAUUGGACAAUGGGCGAAAGCCUGAUCCAGCAAUGCCGCGUGAGUGAUGAAGGCCUUAGGGUUGUAAAGCUCUUUUACCCGGGAUGAUAAUGACAGUACCGGGAGAAUAAGCUCCGGCUAACUCCGUA